ACACAAGUCACCUGGGAUCUUGUUAAAAGGCAGAUUCUGAUUCCAUUGGUCAGCUGGGGUGGGGCCUGAGAUUCUACAUUUCUAAUAAGCUUCCAGAUGAAGCAGUU
This 107-nucleotide microRNA precursor is filed under the name Marmota monax (woodchuck). The record is from RNAcentral. Lineage: Eukaryota; Metazoa; Chordata; Mammalia; Rodentia; Sciuridae.